AUUGAACGCUGGCGGCAGGCCUAACACAUGCAAGUCGAGCGGAUGAAGGGAGCUUGCUCCUGGAUUCAGCGGCGGACGGGUGAGUAAUGCCUAGGAAUCUGCCUGGUAGUGGGGGAUAACGUCCGGAAACGGGCGCUAAUACCGCAUACGUCCUGAGGGAGGAAGUGGGGGAUCUUCGGACCUCACGCUAUCAGAUGAGCCUAGGUCGGAUUAGCUAGUUGGUGGGGUAAAGGCCUACCAAGGCGACGAUCCGUAACUGGUCUGAGAGGAUGAUCAGUCACACUGGAACUUGGACACGGUCCAGACUCCUACGGGAGGCAGCAGUGGGGAAUAUUGGACAAUGGGCGAAAGCCUGAUCCAGCCAUGCCGCGUGUGUGAAGAAGGUCUUCGGAUUGUAAAGCAGUUUAAGUUGGGAGGAAGGGCAGUAAGUUAAUACCUUGCUGUUUUGACGUUACCAACAGAAUAAGCACCGGCUAACUUCGUG
This 484-nucleotide ribosomal RNA is filed under the name uncultured bacterium. RNAcentral's name for it is "partial 16S ribosomal RNA". It matches the Rfam family "Bacterial small subunit ribosomal RNA", at positions 30 to 507 of the family's 1533-position model. The record is from RNAcentral.